Molecule: unclassified non-coding RNA, 345 nt
Filed under: soil metagenome
Description: partial contains 5.8S ribosomal RNA, internal transcribed spacer 2, and large subunit ribosomal RNA
Rfam family: 5.8S ribosomal RNA (bases 1-120)
Source: RNAcentral
GAUGAAGAACGCAGCGAAAUGCGAUACGUAAUGUGAAUUGCAGAAUUCAGUGAAUCAUCGAGUCUUUGAACGCACAUUGCGCCCCCUGGUAUUCCGGGGGGCAUGCCUGUCCGAGCGUCAUUGCUGCCCUCAAGCACGGCUUGUGUGUUGGGCCUCCGUCCUCCUCCCGGGGGACGGGCCCGAAAGGCAGCGGCGGCACCGCGUCCGGUCCUCGAGCGUAUGGGGCUUCGUCACCCGCUCUUGUAGGCCCGGCCGGCGCUUGCCGACACAUCAAUCUUUUUUCCUGGUUGACCUCGGAUCAGGUAGGGAUACCCGCUGAACUUAAGCAUAUCAAUAAGCGGAGGA